Molecule: long non-coding RNA, 731 nt
Organism: Mauremys mutica (yellowpond turtle)
Lineage: Eukaryota; Metazoa; Chordata; Testudines; Geoemydidae
Exons: 3
Source: RefSeq, a predicted model, not a curated record
GUUCAGAGGGUAAGCUGAAUAGAGGAGAGAAGCUGUGUGAAAGGCUGGGGGUGGGACUGUACAUUUGUACCUGUGGUACAUCCUGCCCUGUGUGGAAACAGGCAUUAAAGUGGCAAUCCAGUGGGAGCAGCCCUCUAGUUCUAUCUGCCAUUCCCGCUCUGGUGACGGUGUGAGAGGAUAGACCCAGGCACAUGCAUGGAACUCAUACCUUUCCCUUUUCAAAAUUUUCCAGUAGAUCUGCUUCCUAAAGGAGCUACAGAUGCCAUCAACAGUUAGAGAUGAAAUGCGGAAUCCUGAGCUCACAUCUUGAUAUACUAACACGGGUACCACUCUGAAACCUGCGAGGGACAGAGCAGCCGACUGGGGAUGCCUCAGGAUAGGAGCCAGGAGGAGCACUGUGCCCAGCAGGAAUCACUGGAGAAGGACAAACCAAAGCUGGGCCCUGUACCACUGUUGCCCUGAGCUGCAUGGGGCUGUGAGCACUGGGGCUUGUGACUUUGUAUUGGGAAUAAGGAGGGAGGCUGUCUCUCUGUGUGGGUUUGCCGAGAGCAGCAAAAGAGGGCACCGGAGGUGGUGGUUGUUGAACGUUUACUGGCACCUAAGACUCACUGCCAGAUUGGAACUCUGAGUACAGACUCAUUGCUUGGUGUCUUCCCUUUCACACUGUACUACCACUGGGCCUGUGGGGCCUUGUGUUUAAUGUAACAGUAUUUUACCACUCCCCCAUCUUG